RNAcentral lists this ribosomal RNA (802 nucleotides) under uncultured bacterium. RNAcentral's name for it is "bacterial SSU rRNA". It matches the Rfam family "Bacterial small subunit ribosomal RNA", at positions 1 to 811 of the family's 1533-position model. The record is from RNAcentral.
GAAUUCGCCCUUAGAGUUUGAUCCUGGCUCAGGACGAACGCUGGCGGCGCGCCUAACACAUGCAAGUCGAACGAGCGAGAGGAGGUUUACUUUCUCAAGCGAGUGGCGAACGGGUGAGUAACGCGUGAGGAACCUGCCUCAAAGAGGGGGACAACAGUUGGAAACGACUGCUAAUACCGCAUAAGCCCACGACCCGGCAUCGGGUAGAGGGAAAAGGAGCAAUCCGCUUUGAGAUGGCCUCGCGUCCGAUUAGCUAGUUGGUGAGGUAAUGGCCCACCAAGGCGACGAUCGGUAGCCGGACUGAGAGGUUGAACGGCCACAUUGGGACUGAGACACGGCCCAGACUCCUACGGGAGGCAGCAGUGGGGAAUAUUGCACAAUGGGGGAAACCCUGAUGCAGCGACGCCGCGUGGAGGAAGAAGGUCUUCGGAUUGUAAACUCCUGUUGUUGAGGAAGAUAAUGACGGUACUCAACAAGGAAGUGACGGCUAACUACGUGCCAGCAGCCGCGGUAAAACGUAGGUCACAAGCGUUAUCCGGAUUUACUGGGUGUAAAGGGAGCGUAGACGGUGUGGCAAGUCUGAUGUGAAAGGCAUGGGCUCAACCUGUGGACUGCGUUGGAAACUGUCAUACUUGAGUGCCGGAGGGGUAAGCGGAAUUCCUAGUGUAGCGGUGAAAUGCGUAGAUAUUAGGAGGAACACCAGUGGCGAAGGCGGCUUACUGGACGGUAACUGACGUUGAGGCUCGAAAGCGUGGGUAGCAAACAGGAUUAGAUACCCUGGUAGUCCACACUGUAAACGAUG